Molecule: ribosomal RNA, 481 nt
Filed under: uncultured bacterium
Lineage: Bacteria
Description: partial 16S ribosomal RNA
Rfam family: Bacterial small subunit ribosomal RNA
Source: RNAcentral
GAUGAACGCUGGCGGCGUGCCUAACACAUGCAAGUCGAGCGAAGCACUUACUUUAGAUUUCUUCGGAAUGACGAAGUUUGUGACUGAGCGGCGGACGGGUGAGUAACGCGUGGGCAACCGGCCCUGUACAGGGGGAUAACAGUUAGAAAUGACUGCUAAUACCGCAUAAGCCCACAGCUUCGCAUGAAGCAGUGGUAAAAACUCCGGUGGUACAGGAUGGGCCCGCGUCUGAUUAGCUAGUUGGUAAGGUAACGGCUUACCAAGGCGACGAUCAGUAGCCGACAUGAGAGGGUGACCGGCCACAUUGGGACUGAGACACGGCCGAAACUCCUACGGGAGGCAGCAGCGGGGAAUAUUGCACAAUGGCGGAAACCCUGAUGCAGCGACGCCGCGUGAGCGAUGAAGUAUUUCGGUAUGUAAAGCUCUAUCAGCAGGGAAGAAAGUGACGGUACCUGACUAAGAAGCCCCGGCUAACUACGUG